CCCACUCCACACCACCCCCAGAAGACCAGAUUCAGUUGGUCUGAUGAACACUAGGAAUCCACCUUUGUAACAAGCUCCCAGUGAUCCCAAGGCAGGAGAAGCCCUGGGGAAGAAAUGGCUGAUGAGGACGAAGGAGCAGAGAGGUGGAGCCGAUGAUGAGGACCUCUUCCUCACCUUUCUCCAGAGUGAGUGCACUAAAACUGAGUCCUGAAAGAGGAGAGACAAGCACAUCUUCCUAGGACUAACAUUGGAAGAAGGAUGGCAGAGAGAACAGAAGAGGUGAAUCCUCCGGACUCCAUUGAAGGGCAGAUUUAGUGAUUCCAGGCACCCCCUCUAUCACAGCUGGAAUAGUAGGGCUCAUUAAUUGGUCUGCAUGAAGAUGGUUCUUUCCUUACAGAGAUUUAUCCUGACUCAUAUGCCCCUCACGGCUGCUGUCCUCCCGUGAGAUGACUUAUUUUACUCUACCCAGUUCCCUAGGUCCUGCCAGAUUUUAUUCUCCAAAGAUAGUAUGAUAUUCCUCAUACCAUGUGCUCUUUUACUGUAUUUCUUUGUCACUAACUCAUGAGGAAAUGAAGUUUAAUUCUCUUCUUGAAUCAACGUGGGUUUCUGACUGCUUCAACUAAUGGAGUAUGGUGGAAGUGACACUGUGUGACUUCUGAGACUGGCUCACAGCCUUAUGAUGAUGCAACUUCCACCCUAUUUACUAGAGCAUUCAUACUUGGAGCUCUGAACCACCAUGUAAGAAGUCCAAAUACCCUGAGAUCACCAUAUUGAAAGGAAGCCCAGCUACAAGGAAAAGCCACAUGUGGGAAUUCUGGUUAGUGGUCUUAGUCCUAAAAUUGGUGCAAACCAAGUGCCACACAGGAGUGAAGGACCCGGCCAAUGAUUCCAGACCGAACCGCUGAGUUAACCCUUUGAGUCUUGCCAGUUGAACUCCCAGGCAUCCUGAAACAGAGACAAGCUAGUCCCCAUGCACCCUAUCCAAAUUCCUAAUCCAUGAUCACAAUAAAAUGGAUGCUGUUUUUUAAAAAAAACUAAAUUUUGAGAUAGUUGUUGUAUUAUAACUAUAGUAACUGGAACAACCUCCUUAGUAAUUGUCCCUUCUCUGGACCCCAUAUCUGCCUGGGAAAAAAAAUCUCCCUCUUGCCUUCAAGUCUCUUCUAAUUCUGAUCAAUCAAUACCCUUUUUUUCUGAUACCCAUGUAGCUUCUGCUAACUAAGUCAACUCAUAAUUCUUUAAGAUUUUAUUAAAAAUAUCUGUUAAAAAGACUUUUUCCCAUUGAAUAUUCAUUCUUCCUUUGUUGAAGAUUAAUUGACCAUA
Long non-coding RNA from Canis lupus familiaris (dog), 1320 nucleotides. RefSeq lists it as uncharacterized. NCBI's taxonomy places the organism in Eukaryota, Metazoa, Chordata, Mammalia, Carnivora, Canidae. The record is from RefSeq and is a predicted model, not a curated record. The transcript has 4 exons.